ACUUGGAUGAUUGGCCAAGAUUUCCCUACAUGCCAGAAAUGGAUCCUUAUCCUAUAACCACUCGGUUAAAAAAUGACUAUCCAUUGGACACCCUUACUAAGUUUCUUCGUGACAAUGCUCCACUGCCCACUGAAAUUCUCUNCAGCUUGGAGAAGAGAGUGGAUCAGUGCAAAGUGGACGUUCAAAACCAUGCCGGACAACUCUUUUCUUUGGAAUCUGGAACACUGCAAACGGUUGACAAAGCACUUUCUUUUCCAGAGCAAGUAGAUAAUACUUCAACUCCAGAAUCAAAAGGCAUUUUGAUAAAGAAGAAGAAGAAAUUGCAGGUAGUUUAUCACCUAAGAGAACAGCAUGGACCAUUUUCCAGAUAAUGAUCUUAUUGGUUGUGUUAGUAAAACUGAGGUAUUCAGGAGAAGGAAGUUUUACCUUGCUUAAUAAAACUGAAGAUGACUUGCA
RNAcentral lists this long non-coding RNA (456 nucleotides) under Salvator merianae (Argentine black and white tegu). RNAcentral's name for it is "lncRNA (ENSSMRG00000022360.1)". The record is from RNAcentral. Lineage: Eukaryota; Metazoa; Chordata; Lepidosauria; Squamata; Teiidae.